Molecule: ribosomal RNA, 253 nt
Filed under: uncultured bacterium
Lineage: Bacteria
Description: partial 16S ribosomal RNA
Rfam family: Bacterial small subunit ribosomal RNA
Source: RNAcentral
UACGAAGGGGGGCUAGCGUUGCUCGGAAUCACUGGGCGUAAAGGGUGCGUAGGCGGGUCUUUUAAGUCAGGGGUGAAAUCCUGGAGCUCAACUCCAGAACUGCCUUUGAUACUGAGGAUCUUGAGUUCGGGAGAGGUGAGUGGAACUGCGAGUGUAGAGGUGAAAUUCGUAGAUAUUCGCAAGAACACCAGUGGCGAAGGCGCUCACUGGCCCGAUACUGACGCUGAGGCACGAAAGCGUGGGGAGCAACAGG